UACGGGAGGCAGCAGUGGGGAAUAUUGCACAAUGGGCGCAAGCCUGAUGCAGCCAUGCCGCGUGUAUGAAGAAGGCCUUCGGGUUGUAAAGUACUUUCAGUCGUGAGGAAGGUGUUAAGGUUAAUAACCUUAGCAAUUGACGUUAGCGACAGAAGAAGCACCGGCUAACUCCGUGCCAGCAGCCGCGGUAAUACGGAGGGUGCGAGCGUUAAUCGGAAUUACUGGGCGUAAAGGGCGCGCAGGCGGUUAAUUAAGUUGGAUGUGAAAUCCCCGGGCUUAACCUGGGAAUGGCAUUCAAGACUGGUUAGCUAGAGUCUUGUAGAGGGGGUAGAAUUCCAUGUGUAGCGGUGAAAUGCGUAGAGAUGUGGAGGAAUACCGGUGGCGAAGGCGGCCCCUGGACAAAGACUGACGCUCAUGUGCGAAAGCGUGGGGAGCAAACAGGGAUUAGAUACC
RNAcentral lists this ribosomal RNA (453 nucleotides) under uncultured bacterium. RNAcentral's name for it is "bacterial SSU rRNA". It matches the Rfam family "Bacterial small subunit ribosomal RNA", at positions 340 to 786 of the family's 1533-position model. The record is from RNAcentral.